This 448-nucleotide ribosomal RNA is filed under the name uncultured bacterium. RNAcentral's name for it is "bacterial SSU rRNA". It matches the Rfam family "Bacterial small subunit ribosomal RNA", at positions 29 to 521 of the family's 1533-position model. The record is from RNAcentral.
AGCGAACGCUGGCGGCAGGCUUAACACAUGCAAGUCGAGCGGGCGUAGCAAUACGUCAGCGGCAGACGGGUGAGUAACGCGUGGGAACGUACCUUUUGGUUCGGAACAACCCAGGGAAACUUGGGCUAAUACCGGAUAAGCCCUUACGGGGAAAGAUUUAUCGCCGAAAGAUCGGCCCGCGUCUGAUUAGCUAGUUGGUGAGGUAACGGCUCACCAAGGCGACGAUCAGUAGCUGGUCGAGAGGAUGAUCAGCCACAUUGGGACUGAGACACGGCCCAAACUCCUACGGGAGGCAGCAGUGGGGAAUAUUGGACAAUGGGCGCAAGCCUGAUCCAGCCAUGCCGCGUGAGUGAUGAAGGCCCUAGGGUUGUAAAGCUCUUUUGUGCGGGAAGAUAAUGACGGUACCGCAAGAAUAAGCCCCGGCUAACUUCGUGCCAGCAGCCGCGGU